Molecule: ribosomal RNA, 254 nt
Filed under: uncultured bacterium
Lineage: Bacteria
Description: partial 16S ribosomal RNA
Rfam family: Bacterial small subunit ribosomal RNA
Source: RNAcentral
UACGUAGGUGGCAAGCGUUGUCCGGAUUUACUGGGCGUAAAGAGCGCGCAGGCGGUCGAUCAAGUCGCGUGUGAAAGCCCCCCGGCUCAACUGGGGAGGGUCACGCGAUACUGAUCGACUCGAAGGCAGGAGAGGGUAGUGGAAUUCCCGGUGUAGUGGUGAAAUGCGUAGAUAUCAGGAGGAACACCGGUGGCGAAGGCGGGUCUCUGGGCAGUAACUGACGCUGAGGAGCGAAAGCGUGGGGAGCGAACAGG